GAUGAACGCUGGCGGCGUGCCUAACACAUGCAAGUCGAGCGGACAGACGAUGAGCUUUUGCCUUUAACGUUGGCGGCUGGCGGGUGAGUGACACGUGCAUAAGCUACCUAUAUUACUGGGAUGACUUCGUGAAACCGGUUCUAAUACCGGCUCAUAUCUUGAACGGCAUGGUUCAAUAGUGAAUGGCGGCUUUGCCGUCUGUUUUAGAUGGUGCCGCGCCGCAUUAGCUAGUUGGUAAGGUAAAAGCAUACCAAGGCGACGAUGCGUAGCUGACCUGAGAGGAUGAUCAGCCACACUGGAACUGAGACACGGUCCAGACUCCUACGGGAGGCAGCAGUAGGGAAUAUUGCGCAAUGGGCGCAAGCCUGAUGCAGCCACACCGCGUGAGUGAUGAAGGUCUUCGGAUCGUAAAGCUCUGUUGUUGGGGAAGAAAAGCAGUAGGAUAAACCAUCGCCGUUCUGACGGUACCUAAAGAAAAAGCACCGGCUAACUACGUG
This 497-nucleotide ribosomal RNA is filed under the name uncultured bacterium. RNAcentral describes it as "partial 16S ribosomal RNA". It matches the Rfam family "Bacterial small subunit ribosomal RNA", at positions 28 to 507 of the family's 1533-position model. The record is from RNAcentral.